GUAAUAAGAAAAUCAACAUUUAUAGUUUUCGGUUUUUAAUUUUUUAAUUUUAAAACCAUUUUAUAUUAAAUAGUAAAAAUAAAAAUGUAAUGUUAGCGAUUUAUAUUUUUUUUAUCAAAUUAAAAAGAAAAAAUAGAAAACCACAAAGAAAAUGAAUGCACCUUAAGUGGACUAUUUUUAUUUGCUGUGUUAUAAACCAACGCUAG
Molecule: long non-coding RNA, 206 nt
Filed under: Manihot esculenta (cassava)
Lineage: Eukaryota; Viridiplantae; Streptophyta; Magnoliopsida; Malpighiales; Euphorbiaceae
Description: long non-coding RNA (MESC_LNC010113)
Source: RNAcentral